CGUAUUCAGGGAUGGCGCACAGCAGUGUCACCGGCUGCCCCGAUACCACAGCCUGGUCCUGGGGCUGCUGGCUGAAGGAGUACACUUGACCUAGGAAGGAAACGAAUGCAACGCAGACCCUGCGCCAGCCUCUCUGUCACUGGGAGCAAAUCAUCAGUGUGAACCCACACCUGCCCAUACAUACCUCCCUGAACCAUCUAAGAUGCAGAUACACGGCCGAGGAAAACAGGACCUGGUGGGCAGGCUGCCCCUCCCCCUGGAGAGAGUCAGAGGUGGCCACAGAGGUCCUGGACACUGGCUGCUGUCCAACUUGGGGACACAGAGCCCCAGGCUCGGUUAGGGCCAAGCUCUCAGCAGCAGACGGCCCUAAGAAGGGAGCCACUGGCGUGUGCCUCCAAGGGGCACUGGGGAUGGCAGUGGAGGAGAGACAGAGGUCCACACUGGAGAGUUUGUGGCAGGCGGGAAGGUAGCUGAGUUUUCAACCUGAUGAGAUCUUGGCCGGGUCUCUGAGAGAUCUCAUUAAAAAUCAAAUCGGCCCUGAAUUGGGAGAGUAACACUUUUUAUUCUGGUUUGAGCUUUAUAAAUUAGAUUUCAUAGGACAUUAUCAUCAGCUAUGUGUGGUGGGGUGGGAUUUCUUUUUUUUCUUCCUUUCUGUCUCUUCAAGUUCCCUGUUGUAAUUAGACUGUUUCUGGCACCAAAA
Molecule: long non-coding RNA, 700 nt
Organism: Aethalodelphis obliquidens (Pacific white-sided dolphin)
Lineage: Eukaryota; Metazoa; Chordata; Mammalia; Artiodactyla; Delphinidae
Exons: 3
Source: RefSeq, a predicted model, not a curated record